RNAcentral lists this ribosomal RNA (253 nucleotides) under uncultured bacterium. RNAcentral's name for it is "partial 16S ribosomal RNA". It matches the Rfam family "Bacterial small subunit ribosomal RNA", at positions 524 to 776 of the family's 1533-position model. The record is from RNAcentral.
UACGUAGGGUGCAAGCGUUAAUCGGAAUUACUGGGCGUAAAGCGUGCGUAGACGGUUAUUUAAGUCGGAUGUGAAAGCCCCGGGCUCAACCUGGGAAUUGCAUUCGAGACUGAAUAGCUAGGGUACGGUAGAGGGAAGUGGAAUUUCCGGUGUAGCGGUGAAAUGCGUAGAUAUCGGAAGGAACAUCAGUGGCGAAAGCGACUUCCUGGACCAGUACCGACGUUCAGGCACGAAAGCGUGGGGAGCAAACAGG